This 237-nucleotide ribosomal RNA is filed under the name Salmonella enterica subsp. enterica serovar Ceyco. RNAcentral describes it as "partial 23S ribosomal RNA". It matches the Rfam family "Bacterial large subunit ribosomal RNA", at positions 342 to 581 of the family's 2925-position model. Lineage: Bacteria; Pseudomonadati; Pseudomonadota; Gammaproteobacteria; Enterobacterales; Enterobacteriaceae. The record is from RNAcentral.
CUGGAAAGGCGCGCGAUACAGGGUGACAGCCCCGUACACAAAAGCGCAUAUGCUGUGAGCUCGAUGAGUAGGGCGGGACACGUGGUAUCCUGUCUGAAUAUGGGGGGACCAUCCUCCAAGGCUAAAUACUCCUGACUGACCGAUAGUGAACCAGUACCGUGAGGGAAAGGCGAAAAGAACCCCGGCGAGGGGAGUGAAAAAGAACCUGAAACCGUGUACGUACAAGCAGUGGGAGCC